AGACGGUGGCCGGGGCCUGCCCACAUGAGGGAUGGGGGAGAUCCAGGGCCAGGCGGUCGCUGCCUCCGUGGAAGCGCUGGACUCAGGAAGCAGCUGUCCUGGGCCGCAGCAGCCCAAGGGAGGAAGUGGACAGAGGUGGGGCUGGACCCAGGGCCUGCGGGUGAGUCAGCAGCUCGUGACUCUGGCCACCCGGGGGCUUCCUCUGCCGCCGACCCCGGCCCCUCCGUGUGCAGGGACCCGGGUGGCUGGGCACCCUCAGCUCGGGAGCUGGAGCCCGGCCCUGCCCAGGCCAGCCAGGGCCGCCCGCCUCCUGCAGCCGCCAGAGCACGGCGGCCUCUGCCCAGGAGCAGGGAGCCCUGGCCUCGCGCUGGCCUCCUGUGGUCCUGGGAGGCAGCAAAGGUCCUGCCUGUGUCCUCCACUGUCCCAUCCUGAAGGUGUGGCCACUUCACCCCCCUCCUCAGAGCUUGAUUCAAAGCUGAUUACAGAAGACACCUUCCUGCCCCAGAGGACCAGGGGAUUCACCUGCCUCCUGGGCGUUGGGGGCUGCGAACGCUGCUGAGUCUCCGAACGCUGCUGAGUCUCCGCUCACGGGACACGGUGCAGGGUGUGUGACCUGACCGCCACCUCCCAGGGCCCUCGGGACGGCCCGGCCACAGCAGGCAGCUCUCCCCAGCCGCGGCUCUGUUGGUGCGCAGAACUCGUCACCAUGGAGAAUGACGUAUUGAUUUGCUYAUUGACUUAAAAUAACAGCGGUGUCUGCAUCUAGAGGCGGCGCUCCAUCCCGGCCUGCACUCUGCUGUAUCAUCCUAUGGGGCACAGAGAGGUGGAGGAACUUCCUCAAGGUCACACAGCCAGGGCCGAAGCUGGGUCUCAUGGGUUCAUUCCCCGGUGUCUGUCUCCCCCACAGGAACCUGUGCCUUGCCCACACCUGGCCCUGAGCCUGAGCUGGGGCCUGCACGCGGUGCUCAGUCACUCACGCUGGUGAACUUGGGACUCUGCAGCAGCUGGUGGGAGAGUUUUCCUGUCCACCCUGAAGCUCUUUUGUUUUUUGGUGCCAGGGAUUGAGCUCAGGACUCUCGACCACUGAGCCGCAUCCCCAGCCCUGUUUUGUGUUUUAUUUAGAGACAGGGUCUCACCGAGUUGCUUAGCACCUCCCUGUUGCUGAGGCUGGCUUUGACCUCUCAAUCCUCCUGCCUCAGCCUCCCUAGCCGCUGGGAUGACAGGUGUGCGCCCCRGCCCCCGGCCCAGGCAGCUCUUUCCGUGCAGCAGGGAGAAGAGCCCCGGGUGCUCUGACCCACYGCCUUCCCCCUUCCUCCAUCCCCCUUCCUCCAUCAUCCAGCGCAGGGCCAGGGGCCCAGCGUCCCCAGGGGCCCAUCCUGGCCUGGCACCCGGGCCCCACCCGAGGUUCGGCUGCUGAACUUCACUGGGGCUGCCGCAGCUCUGGGGCAGCUGAACUGAGUGGCUGAGGAGAGACCCCCGAAGCUGAAGGUUCACCGCUGCCUUCACAGGGUGGGGGGCAGCCAGAGCCCAGGCUGCUGGCUUUGAAGGAGCAGGGCACCUCCUUCUCCAGCGGGUGCUGGGAGAACCCAGGGGCUCUCCACUGAGCCACUUCCCAGCCCUUGAUUUUCUAUUUGAGACGGGGUCUCCCUAAAUUGCUGAGGCUGGCCUCAAACUUGCAAUCCUUCUGCCUCAGCCUCCAGAGUGGCUGGGAUGACAGGUGGGUGCCACCAUCUCCAACUUGAGUUUUCUUUUAAUUGACAAAUGAUAGUUGUAUAUAUUUCUGGUAGACAACAGAUGAAUAGAUUUUUAAAAACGUGCUCCAUACACACAAUGGGAUAUUAUUCGGCCAUAAAGAAGAAUGAAAUUCUGACAUAUGCAGGUAAAGGCAGGGGACAGAGAACAUGCUGGUGAAAUAGGCCAACCUCAAAAAGCCAAAGACCGAAUGUUCCCCCUGAUGUGCAGACGGUAACCCRUAAUGAGGGGGCGGGAGAAUAGAAGUUCACUGGAUCAGGCACAGGGGAAUGAGGGGAGGAGGGGAAGGAAACAGGAAGGCAGUCAAGUGAACCGGACGUCACUUUCCUCGUUCAUACAGGAACCCGGCCACGUUGCUCCACAUCCCCUUCRACCACAAGACGGGGAGUCAGAUCCGUGUGCGGGACAUGCCCAAUGCUCUCCUUCAUGCAUAACUGACAAGAACAAAUGGCAUGUCAAGRGCUUUGUAAUGUUUUGAACAACUAAUAAUAAAAAAAUUUAAAACAGGAACA
Long non-coding RNA from Urocitellus parryii (Arctic ground squirrel), 2264 nucleotides. NCBI's taxonomy places the organism in Eukaryota, Metazoa, Chordata, Mammalia, Rodentia, Sciuridae. The record is from Ensembl.